AACGAACGCUGGCGGCAGGCCUAACACAUGCAAGUCGAACGCGCGUAGCAAUACGCGAGUGGCGCACGGGUGAGUAACACGUGGGAAUCUACCCAGAGGUUCGGAAUAACCGCGGGAAACUGCGGCUAAUACCGGAUAUCCCCUACGGGGGAAAGAUUUAUCGCCUUUGGACGAGCCCGCGUCCGAUUAGCUAGUUGGUGAGGUAAUGGCUCACCAAGGCUACGAUCGGUAGCUGGUCUGAGAGGACGACCAGCCACACUGGAACUGAGACACGGUCCAGACUCCUACGGGAGGCAGCAGUGGGGAAUAUUGGGCAAUGGAGGCAACUCUGACCCAGCCAUGCCGCGUGGGUGACGAAGGUCUUC
RNAcentral lists this ribosomal RNA (365 nucleotides) under uncultured bacterium. RNAcentral's name for it is "bacterial SSU rRNA". It matches the Rfam family "Bacterial small subunit ribosomal RNA", at positions 29 to 419 of the family's 1533-position model. The record is from RNAcentral.